UCGUUGUUUUUUUCUG
This 16-nucleotide unclassified non-coding RNA is filed under the name synthetic construct. RNAcentral describes it as "RNA (5'-R(P*UP*CP*GP*UP*UP*GP*UP*UP*UP*UP*UP*UP*UP*CP*UP*G)-3') from synthetic construct (PDB 7WBX, chain P)". The record is from RNAcentral.